GAUGAACGCUGGCGGCGUGCCUAAUACAUGCAAGUCGAGCGAACGGACGAGAAGCUUGCUUUUCUGAUGUUAGCGGCGGACGGGUGAGUAACACGUGGAUAACCUACCUAUAAGACUGGGAUAACUUCGGGAAACCGGAGCUAAUACCGGAUAAUAUUUUGAACCGCAUGGUUCAAAAGUGAAAGACGGUCUUGCUGUCACUUAUAGAUGGAUCCGCGCUGCAUUAGCUAGUUGGUAAGGUAACGGCUUACCAAGGCAACGAUGCAUAGCCGACCUGAGAGGGUGAUCGGCCACACUGGAACUGAGACACGGUCCAGACGCCUACGGGAGGCAGCAGUAGGGAAUCUUCCGCAAUGGGCGAAAGCCUUACGGAGCAACGCCGCGUGAGUGAUGAAGGUCUUCGGAUCGUAAAACUCUGUUAUUAGGGAAGAACAUAUGUGUAAGUAACUGUGCACAUCUUGACGGUACCUAAUCAGAAAGCCACGGCUAACUACGUG
This 497-nucleotide ribosomal RNA is filed under the name uncultured bacterium. RNAcentral describes it as "partial 16S ribosomal RNA". It matches the Rfam family "Bacterial small subunit ribosomal RNA", at positions 28 to 507 of the family's 1533-position model. The record is from RNAcentral.